This is a long non-coding RNA of Alosa alosa (allis shad), 181 nucleotides long. RefSeq lists it as uncharacterized. Lineage: Eukaryota; Metazoa; Chordata; Actinopteri; Clupeiformes; Clupeidae. The record is from RefSeq and is a predicted model, not a curated record. The transcript has 3 exons.
CAUUGGCUGGCUUUUGGUUUUUGGUUUUACUUGUCUUCUCAACAUUCAACACAACAGAACACUAUCUUCACAUGCAUCUGACUGGGCCAACUGAGACACUGUUCCCAGGUCUGCCUGCCAGUAAAGCUUCCAUCAGUCAGACUCUGCAGUCUUCCCCGCGACCUCCCUGACGAUGGCUAUU